Molecule: ribosomal RNA, 497 nt
Filed under: uncultured bacterium
Lineage: Bacteria
Description: partial 16S ribosomal RNA
Rfam family: Bacterial small subunit ribosomal RNA
Source: RNAcentral
GAUGAACGCUGGCGGCGUGCCUAAUACAUGCAAGUCGAGCGAACGGACGAGAAGCUUGCUUCUCUGAUGUUAGCGGCGGACGGGUGAGUAACACGUGGAUAACCUACCUAUAAGACUGGGAUAACUUCGGGAAACCGGAGCUAAUACCGGAUAAUAUUUUGAACCGCAUGGUUCAAAAGUGAAAGACGGUCUUGCUGUCACUUAUAGAUGGAUCCGCGCUGCAUUAGCUAGUUGGUAAGGUAACGGCUUACCAAGGCAACGAUGCAUAGCCGACCUGAGAGGGUGAUCGGCCGCCCUGGAACUGGGCCACGGUCCAGGCUCCUACGGGAGGCAGCAGUAGGGAAUCUUCCGCAAUGGGCGAAAGCCUGGCGGAGCAACGCCGCGUGAGUGAUGAAGGUCUUCGGAUCGUAAAACUCUGUUAUUAGGGAAGAACAUAUGUGUAAGUAACUGUGCACAUCUUGACGGUACCUAAUCAGAAAGCCACGGCUAACUACGUG